GGAUGAAGAACGCAGCGAAAUGCGAUAAGUAAUGUGAAUUGCAGAAUUCAGUGAAUCAUCGAAUCUUUGAACGCACAUUGCGCCCGCCAGCAUUCUGGCGGGCAUGCCUGUUCGAGCGUCAUUUCAACCCCUCAGGCCCUAGCGCCUGGCGUCGGAGGCUUUCCCCCCUCACCGGGGAACCUCUCAGAAACAGUGGCGGACCCGCCGCGGCUCCGAGCGCAGUAGUUAAAAAGCGUGUCGCUCUGGAGAUCACCGCGGGGAGCCUCGCCGUUAAACCGGGCCGGUGACCUGGCCCACGCACAAGGUUGACCUCGGAUCAGGUAGGAAUACCCGCUGAACUUAAGCAUAUCAAUAAGCGGAGGA
This 363-nucleotide unclassified non-coding RNA is filed under the name soil metagenome. RNAcentral describes it as "partial contains 5.8S ribosomal RNA, internal transcribed spacer 2, and large subunit ribosomal RNA". The stretch from base 2 to 121 matches the Rfam family "5.8S ribosomal RNA", at positions 35 to 154 of the family's 154-position model. The record is from RNAcentral.